Molecule: ribosomal RNA, 495 nt
Filed under: uncultured bacterium
Lineage: Bacteria
Description: partial 16S ribosomal RNA
Rfam family: Bacterial small subunit ribosomal RNA
Source: RNAcentral
GACGAACGCUGGCGGCGUGCCUAAUACAUGCAAGUCGAACGCUGAAGGAGGAGCUUGCUUCUCUGGAUGAGUUGCGAACGGGUGAGUAACGCGUAGGUAACCUGCCUGUGAGCGGGGGAUAACUAUUGGAAACGAUAGCUAAUACCGCAUAAUAGUAGAUGUUGCAUGACAUUUGCUUAAAAGGUGCAAUUGCAUCACUACCAGUUGGACCUGCGUUGUAUUAGCUAGUUGGUGGGGUAACGGCUCACCAAGGCGACGAUACAUAGCCGCCCUGAGAGGGGGAUCGGCCACACUGGGACUGGGACACGGCCCAGACUCCUACGGGAGGCAGCAGUAGGGAAUCUUCGGCAAUGGACGGAAGUCUGACCGAGCAACGCCGCGUGAGUGAAGAAGGGUUUCGGAUCGUAAAGCUCUGUUGUAAGGGAAGAACGAGUGUGAGAGUGGAAAGUUCACACUGUGACGGUAUCUUACCAGAAAGGGACGGCUAACUACGUG